Molecule: ribosomal RNA, 460 nt
Filed under: uncultured bacterium
Lineage: Bacteria
Description: partial 16S ribosomal RNA
Rfam family: Bacterial small subunit ribosomal RNA
Source: RNAcentral
CCUACGGGAGGCAGCAGUGAGGAAUAUUGGUCAAUGGGCGCGAGCCUGAACCAGCCAAGUCGCGUGAGGGAUGAAGGUUCUAUGGAUCGUAAACCUCUUUUAUAAGGGAAUAAAGUGUGGGACGUGUCCUCUUUUGUAUGUACCUUAUGAAUAAGGAACGGCUAACGCCGGUCCAGCAGCCGCGGUAAUACGGAGGAUCCGAGCGUUAUCCGGAUUUUAUGGGGUUAAAGGGUGCGUAGGCGGUCGUUUAAGUCAGCGGUGAAAGUCUGUGGCCCAACCAUAGAAGUGCCGUUGAAACUGGGGGGCUUGAGUAUGGUAGAGGGAGGCGGAAUGCGUGGUGUAGCGGUGAAAUGCUUAGAGAUCACGCAGAACCCCGAUUGCGAAGGCAGCCUGCCGGGCCAUGACUGACGCUGAGGCACGAAAGCGUGGGGAUCAAACAGGAUUAGAUACCCUUGUAGUC